This 72-nucleotide transfer RNA is filed under the name Gossypium hirsutum (cotton). It matches the Rfam family "tRNA". From Rfam's summary of the family: Transfer RNA (tRNA) molecules are approximately 80 nucleotides in length. Their secondary structure includes four short double-helical elements and three loops (D, anti-codon, and T loops). Further hydrogen bonds mediate the characteristic L-shaped molecular structure. tRNAs have two regions of fundamental functional importance: the anti-codon, which is responsible for specific mRNA codon recognition, and the 3' end, to which the tRNAs corresponding amino acid is attached (by aminoacyl-tRNA synthetases). tRNAs cope with the degeneracy of the genetic code in two manners: having more than one tRNA (with a specific anti-codon) for a particular amino acid; and 'wobble' base-pairing, i.e. permitting non-standard base-pairing at the 3rd anti-codon position. Lineage: Eukaryota; Viridiplantae; Streptophyta; Magnoliopsida; Malvales; Malvaceae. The record is from Rfam by way of RNAcentral.
GUCGUUGUAGUAUAAUGGUGAGUAUUACCGCCUGUCAUGCUGGCGAUCCGGGUUCGAUCCCCGGCAACGGUG